Molecule: ribosomal RNA, 586 nt
Filed under: Terribacillus sp. CM1S-R2A-A
Lineage: Bacteria; Bacillati; Bacillota; Bacilli; Caryophanales; Bacillaceae
Description: bacterial SSU rRNA
Rfam family: Bacterial small subunit ribosomal RNA
Source: RNAcentral
GGGGUGAUUCUGGUGGAAUGAGCGGCGGACGGGUGAGUAACACGUGGGCAACCUGCCUGUAAGACUGGGAUAACUUCGGGAAACCGGAGCUAAUACCGGAUAGUAUUUCCUUUCUCCUGAUUGGAAAUGGAAAGACGGUUUCGGCUGUCACUUACAGAUGGGCCCGCGGUGCAUUAGCUAGUUGGUGGGGUAAUGGCCCACCAAGGCGACGAUGCAUAGCCGACCUGAGAGGGUGAUCGGCCACACUGGGACUGAGACACGGCCCAGACUCCUACGGGAGGCAGCAGUAGGGAAUCUUCCGCAAUGGACGAAAGUCUGACGGAGCAACGCCGCGUGAGCGAUGAAGGCCUUCGGGUCGUAAAGCUCUGUUGUUAGGGAAGAACAAGUACGAGAGUAACUGCUCGUACCUUGACGGUACCUAACCAGAAAGCCCCGGCUAACUACGUGCCAGCAGCCGCGGUAAUACGUAGGGGGCAAGCGUUGUCCGGAAUUAUUGGGCGUAAAGGGCUCGUAGGCGGUUUCUUAAGUCUGAUGUGAAAGCCCACAGCUCAACUGUGGAGGGUCAUUGGAAACUGGGGAACUUGAG